This 497-nucleotide ribosomal RNA is filed under the name uncultured bacterium. RNAcentral's name for it is "partial 16S ribosomal RNA". It matches the Rfam family "Bacterial small subunit ribosomal RNA", at positions 28 to 507 of the family's 1533-position model. The record is from RNAcentral.
GACGAACGCUGGCGGCGUGCCUAAUACAUGCAAGUUGAGCGCUGAAGGUUGGUACUUGUACCAACUGGAUGAGCAGCGAACGGGGGAGUAACGCGUGGUGAAUCUGCCUUUGAGCGGGGGACAACAUGUGGAAACGAAUGCUAAUACCGCAUAAAAACGUUAAACAGAAGUUUUAAGUUUGAAAGAGGCAAUUGCAUCACUCAAAGAUGAUCCCGCGUUGUAUUAGCUAGUUGGUGAGGUAAAGGCUCACCCAGGCGAUGAUACAUAGCCGACCUGAGAGGGGGAUCGGCCACAUUGGGACUGAGACACGGCCCAAAAUCCUACGGGAGGCAGCAGUAGGGAAUCUUCGGCAAUGGACGAAAGUCUGACCGAGCAAAGCCGCGUGAGUGAAGAAGGUUUUCGGAUCGUAAAACCCUGUUGGUAGAGAAGAACGUUGGUGAGAGUGGAAAGCUCAUCAAGUGACGGUAACUACCCAGAAAGGGACGGCUAACUACGUG